Podarcis raffonei (Aeolian wall lizard) is the source of this 1003-nucleotide long non-coding RNA. RefSeq lists it as uncharacterized. Lineage: Eukaryota; Metazoa; Chordata; Lepidosauria; Squamata; Lacertidae. The record is from RefSeq and is a predicted model, not a curated record. The transcript is spliced from 3 exons.
AGCUUCCACCCCCUAAAUUAGGCAAAUAGAUAAAAAAUACUUAACUAAAAGUAGAAAUCGUAGAAAGAUGUUGACAGAUUUUUUUUCCUGAGCACCUGGGGUUAAAAGAAGGUAAUUUAAAGCAACUGUUUUCAUUCCAAAUCUGCUAGACAGAGCCAAGGUGGGUGUCUUGCCCGCCCCCGCCCAACAUAAAUCCUGGCUACGCCUAUGUUAAAGUGAGGUGUUAGGGGGAGGGGAUAGUACUGUAUUUUCCAGUGUAUAAGACGACCCCAUGUAUAAGACGACCCCUACUUUUUUAAACCCAAAAUUUAGAAAUCAGUUUUUUGGUGCAGCAAAUGACCUCAAAGUUUUUUGGGGGUGAACAAACUGCAAAUCGCUCCUGUGAGUUCAGCAUCUGCGUAUAAGACAACCCCCAAUUUUGGGAUACAAAAAUUGAGCAAAAAAACCCUCCUGGGGCUGUUUGACCAUCUUUGGUCUCCACCCUGCACUCAGCUCUCAUCUGUGGCUCCGAGAAGCUGUCAGCAUGCAACAGAAGCCAUGCUCUGGGAGACAGCUUUGACCAGCUGGCUAAACCAGAGUGGCCUUGUCCAAAUUGUAGUACGUGCAGGAGGAGCUGCAGAGUCCAUGCAAUUAAAAUGAAUAAUCUGAAAAGAAUAUCCUGUGGGUCAGAAGGAGGCAGAUCUUUUUUUCUUUUUUUAAAAAAGGGGGAGGACGACAACAUUCAUUUCACACAAUGGGCUUUGCGCGCAAACAGAUUCAGAUGACUGCUCGGUAGACAGGGCCACCUGGAAGGACCUCCUGGCUCACCAUUUUGAGCUCCCCACAACUCCACAUCUGCCCUGCAUUGGAAGAGUGAGCUGAUUGGGAUUGGCGAAAUAAAAGAACACAGGGCUCCUUUGGGGCUUGCAAGCCUCCUCAAAUGCAUAGGGUUCCCCCACCCUAUCCUACAGUCAAAGCGGCUUACAACAGAAAUCAUAAAAGCAAAACAAUAUUUUUUAAAUGA